AUUAGACGAAUCAUCUGGAAAGAUGAAUCAAAGAAGGUAAUAAUCCUGUAGUCGAAAAUGUUGUCUCUCUUGAGUGGAUCCUGAGUACGACGGAGCACGUGAAAUUCCGUCGGAAUCUGGGAGGACCAUCUCCUAAGGCUAAAUACUCUCUAGUGACCGAUAGUGAACCAGUACCGUGAGGGAAAGGUGAAAAGCACCCCGGAAGGGGAGUGAAAUAGAACCUGAAACCGUGUGCUUACAAGUAGUCAGAGCCCGUUAAUGGGUGAUGGCGUGCCUUUUGUAGAAUGAACCGGCGAGUUACGAUUUGAUGCAAGGUUAAGCAGUAAAUGUGGAGCCGUAGCGAAAGCGAGUCUGAAUAGGGCGUUUAGUAUUUGGUCGUAGACCCGAAACCAGGUGAUCUACCCUUGGUCAGGUUGAAGUUCAGGUAACACUGAAUGGAGGACCGAACCGACUUACGUUGAAAAGUGAGCGGAUGAACUGAGGGUAGCGGAGAAAUUCCAAUCGAACCUGGAGAUAGCUGGUUCUCUCCGAAAUAGCUUUAGGGCUAGCCUCAAGUGAUGAUUAUU
RNAcentral lists this ribosomal RNA (566 nucleotides) under Staphylococcus aureus. RNAcentral describes it as "partial 23S ribosomal RNA". It matches the Rfam family "Bacterial large subunit ribosomal RNA", at positions 328 to 897 of the family's 2925-position model. Lineage: Bacteria; Bacillati; Bacillota; Bacilli; Caryophanales; Staphylococcaceae. The record is from RNAcentral.